RNAcentral lists this long non-coding RNA (1405 nucleotides) under Prunus persica (peach). RNAcentral's name for it is "long non-coding RNA (PPER_LNC006812)". The record is from RNAcentral. Lineage: Eukaryota; Viridiplantae; Streptophyta; Magnoliopsida; Rosales; Rosaceae.
AUACAAAUUUACUUAACAACACAAAAUCAAAGUCGCAGUAGCUCGUAGUUAAAUACACACUAAAAUUUUUAUCAAACGGUUGACUACUUACAAUUAUUAAUUACACAAAUCAACAACAGAAGCCUAGUAACUUGGUUGAAACCUACUCCCUCAAACUCCGCCUUGAAUCCUGCACAAUCUAUUAGGGUAUGAGCAUUCUAAUGCCCAGUAGAGUACUGCCAAACCCCUCAAGGUCAACUCUCACAGUCAAACAAAGUGUCAUCCAUCAAACAACAGAAGAUACAUAAAUUAUGCAACCAUACAAGAUAAAUACAUUUGCAUAUGCGGUGAUGCCAUGAACUCGCUCCCUUCUGAUUCCACUAAUUCGUACCUUAGGGCAACAAGGCUGCAUGUCCCAUACCAUGCGUUUUACCACUGCGGCUCUGAAUACCCUAAAAUAUGAACUAGCACCCAUUCGUCCCUUAACCCAGUUUUCUUUUGUUUACGAAUUUCUCAACUUUCACUUUUCCUUAGAGGCUUUGCUCCCAUCACCUUAAUAUAUUCAAACCCUGCUCUUGUCACCUGAAUAUAUUCCACAUUUUUUUACUCAGAUAUAUCUAAGGCCUUCUUCCACUCCUUAGAUAUAUGUCAAAUGACACACAAAGCCUUAACACCAUUUAUGAUGCAUAUGUAAUCUAGCGCAAACAUCAUUUAUCUCUAUUGAAUAAUAAUACAGAUAAUAACAAUAAUAUUUCAAGCUCCAUCACAUGAAUAAUCUAUUCACCCAACAUCAAAAAUAAUAUCCAUGGAGAAACAUCGAUAAUAAUAUUCACAUAACAUCAAAUAAUAUUCAUCGAGGAAAGCAACAAUAAUAUUCAUAUUUAUAACAUCAUAUAUAAGCACGAAGAUUAAAAGUGACAUAGCCCUAUCAUCGGGAAAUCAAGAAAACCUAUCUCAUGUCCAGCCAGCUUAACCUUGUGCGGGUUCGUCCUCGAAAGUACGCAGAGUAGAACACCUUCAAAGAAUCAUUUACUUGAGAUGAUAGUGGCUAAUUUGAUCAACUGAAUGACAAGUAACAAGCCAUUUGAGAGAAAGUACACAUCUUUGGAUAUGUUAUAAAGAGGAGAAUUUGGAGUAACUAUCAUGAAGAAACCAUAGUGUUUUGAGCUUCCAAAAUGAGUGUUCUGGACUGAAAACAAGGGAAGGAACUAGGGUCGAAGACUAUAAACAAGUUCCACUCUAAAAGUUCCCGAGGUGGCUACAGAUGUCUGAUCAACCUAAAGUUUUGAUAUGUUAUAAUAGACAAAAUUCCGAACAACUUUGAUGAAGGAACCAAAGUCAUUUGAGUAUAGGAGAUCAUAGAAACAUAUUGAAACCGAGCAUACUACUGCAAAAUCAGAAAAUGGUAAACAUAUUGUGAUCAUAC